Molecule: ribosomal RNA, 222 nt
Filed under: uncultured bacterium
Lineage: Bacteria
Description: partial 16S ribosomal RNA
Rfam family: Bacterial small subunit ribosomal RNA
Source: RNAcentral
AGUAAUGUAUGGGGAUCUGCCUGAUGGCGGGGGAUAACUACUGGAAACGGUAGCUAAUACCGCAUAAUGUCUACGGACCAAAGCGGGGGACCGCCGGGCCUCGCGCCAUCAGAUGAACCCAUAUGGGAUUAGCUAGUAGGUGAGGUAACGGCUUACCUAGGCGACGAUCCCUAGCUGGUCUGAGAGGAUGAUCAGCCACACUGGGACUGAGACACGGUCCAG